Long non-coding RNA from Haemorhous mexicanus (house finch), 3269 nucleotides. RefSeq lists it as uncharacterized. The record is from RefSeq and is a predicted model, not a curated record. Lineage: Eukaryota; Metazoa; Chordata; Aves; Passeriformes; Fringillidae. The transcript is spliced from 3 exons.
GGAGCCGGGUGACCUUCCCAAGAUGGCGGCAGGAAGGGGGGCGCAGUCGAGGCUCGCGGUCCGUUCGCUGCGCUGCCCCCACGGCGCCCCCGUGGCGGCGCCGGCCCGUCGGGGCUUUCCGCGGUGGUUCCGGUGCGGGGCUGGCGGGCUGUGGGCUCGGCAGCGCCGCGGGCGGGCGGGUUUUGGGGGGCCGCUGACGGGCACUGGCGUGGUGGCCUCUCUUCGCCGAGGUACUCACGGUGCAUCCUCUGUUGCUGGAGGGGGGUUUUGUACUGGAGAAGCUUAUUUUAUUUUUCCGAAUGAAAAUAAGCUGCCCGGUAUGCCCGUGUACGCGUCAGUAAAACGCUUGCUUUGGUAGGGAAUUUAGUACUUAAAAGUAGGGGGUUUAUUUUAUUUAAGCGUGGAUGAGUCUCCAAUGACUCAAUAGUCACAACAAUGUCAAUAUUACAGCCUGGCAGGUGACCGCGUUGGAGAGAGGAGGGCAGCUGCCAGCAGGCAGCCCCCCGGGGAAAACAGGGGAGUUUCAGUGGUUUCUGGAGCCUGAGGAACAGGGAGAUGCCCUGAGCUAAGCAGGAGUUAAGCGCAGUCAUGCGGAGGCCUGGCUGUUACGAUUGAAGGUCGCUUCGUGAAUAUCGAUAGUUUCUGUAGGUAUUUUUAUAUCUAUAGAAAGAUAAAAAGUAAAAGUAGAAUAUAGAGCAUUGUGCAGGAGAAGAAGAACCCUUUAUGUAAGAUGUGACCUGAGGGGCAUCAUGCCAGGCUGUCCCUUCCAGAUUGGGAAGGAUUCAGUGUUUUGUAUGGCACGAUGGAGAGUUUUGAAAAGUAAGAUUUCCUCUUCGGUGCAGGUCCGAUGGGUGAGGCCUGGCAGCUUGUGCACUGCCACUGUGCUACCCUGCGUGCCUCUCCUUCCCUCCCUGCUCCGCAGGCACAGCACGGGAUCAGCAGGGAGGGGCGGCUCUGUCGUGGAGGAUCCAGGAGCUCGGCGUGCGUGUCUGAGCCUGCAGCUGCGAGCCGCAGCAGGACCCAAGGUCUGCACACGCCUGUGUACAGAAGAAUGAUGCGAGGACAGAAAAGUUGCAAUGGCAUUGCAGUUCCCUGCACAGAAAAUAGCCAGGGAGGUGAAGCAGGGCCAAGUGGUGCCGUUCGACUGCACCACGACUGGGAGCAUCAGCCAGGUCUUCUGAGCCACAGCACCUCCUGCUCUGCGGUGGCCACUGCUCACUGAUCCCAGUGAAAACAAACUUGUGUACAGGCACUCUGCAAAAUUCCCACCUUAGAUGCCACUGAAGCGCAGCUUUGGCUUUCGGGCAUCUCCCCUGCAGGCCGUCCCUUGUGUCAUUUCCGCAGAGGAUUCCUUGUUAGUUAAUUACUUCAUUUUGUUUUUCAUUUCCAAAGAAUAUCAGUUGACUUUUACAGCUUCUUCAGUGCUCCCCAAGCUUCAUGCCACACCUAAAUGCUCAUCUUCGCUGCCUGAAGGUCCUUUCUGACCUGAACGAUUCUAUGACUUUGGUCCGUACUUCAGCUUAUGGGAGAAGCUGCACGUUGAUUGGGUUUUGGAGAAAAAGAUUUGAAUGUCCAGCUGUGAAUUGAUCUUGUGUUUUGUCUUCCAGGUUCAUUCCCAUUGUGAUCUGCAAAUGGCAAAUCAGGGUUGCUCUUUAUUAAAACCAAAAGCGCUCUCAGAAUGUUGAUGGAGGUGAUGAUUGCAGGGGCGAUGCUUCUGGAGAAUAGCUCCCCCAUCUUCCCCAGGGCCUGGGCAGAGAGAGGUGGAGCUCGGAGUCCCCCCAGUCCUCCCGCGGGUGUUGGCGUCUGCAGCGCCAUCGGGACGGGAUCCACGGCGCAGCUCCCUCCUCCAGAGGCCGAAAGCUCAGCCUCCAGUUUCGUGCAGGGUGAUCACCUUUCCAAGGCAAUACAAGCACUUCCCAAGAGCAGCUGGUGAAGAUGGCGCAGAAGCAAGGACAAGGGUGCAGUGAAAAGUUUGGUGCAUCGAUCCAGCUUCCGGACAUGGUAGGGAAGACGCACCGUUUGAUAAAACACCAAACACGGUAGUUUUCAUUCUUUGUGUUUUUCUGUGCCCCCAUUGUGAUCACCCCUGGAAGUAUUAUUUUUGAAAAACAUAUCUAGGAGAGAAAUCGUAACCUGCUUUGCGUCCUUCUGCCUGGAAGGGUUGUGACACAGGGAAGUGAGGAAGGGGCUGGCCGGGGUCAGCCUCUGCUGAGCCUCAGCUCUGGCUGUUGCUCCUGCUUCCCGGGUACACCCAAAAGCUGUCAUGAUCAAAAGAGCAGGCAGCCCUUCUGUCCUGAGUCACAGGGGCCAUUUCUUCCUGAGUGACUCAAGAUGGGAAAUCAUUCUUGGAGCUUCAAAAGAAAAAAAAAAAAAACCUCAUGCAAUCAUUUGUAAGUGUGUAUAUAUACACAUACAUUUCCUUCAAUGAAGAAGAAAAUCUUAGAAAUAUCAUGUCACGUCUGGCUUCCUAGAGAAAAUCCUUAUCUCUGGGCUUCUGAAAUCAAAUGUCUGUGCAUUUAUAGAGCAUUUCCCCUCUUUUUAUGUGCCUCCCACAGUGAUCUUCUACCCUGCCCCAUGGCAAGAAGAGAAGAAGAGUUUGGUGAUUUUGCUGCUCUGCUCUCUCAAGGGUGUUGCAGGCUGCGUAGCAGGGAGUGAAGCCCUUGUCGCUGCUCAUCAGACACUUUCCUACAGAAUUCUCCCUGCAGUGAUAAAAUUAGACUGGUGUUAGUGAGCUGCCAAGUAGAGCAGGUAACAUUGGACAAGAAUGGUUUCUGAGCUGCUGUUCACUAGCACGUGUUUCCCCUUUCCAGCGCGGUGCCGCCGCCCAAGAAAGGAUUUUUGUGGGUCAGCCAGAUGUGCUCCUGCCUCCCACUGAGGCUCUGAGAUGGAGCCGAGUUUGCAUUCCAGUUUAUUGCAACAGAGGGUCAUCGGAAAUUUCCUCAGCUAUCUCAGGCACAGAGCCAUGGAAGCAAGUAAGCCUGAGCUCCUGCGUGCUUGCUGUGAGCCUUGAGACGAGUGUGCAUCAUUGCAGGCUUGGAAUUUAUUGAAAUGCGCUAAGGAAACCGGCUUUGGGGGGGGAGGGAGGGAGGGAGGGAGGGAAAUCCUCUCUUCACAUGUGCCAAUCCUUCUCUGAAACUCAUCCCGGCAGGUCAGCACGAAGACUGAACGUGUAAGAAGAUGUGGGGUGCAAUGGAGAACCUGGCAGGAGCAUCCGACGCACACGUGCACGAGUUUUGCUUUUUGCUUGGAUUGAAGCUCAAAAGUUGUAA